AUGGGCCUUGCCUGUAUCCCUGUCCCUUUGCUGGAGGCGGUCCUGGUCCCUCCGACCAUUACCGUCCCGAUCUCCCUCCCGGUCUCUGUCGCGACCACGGUCUCGAUCCCUGUCCCAGCCAUGAUCAUGUUCACGGCCUCGGUCAUGGUUACGAUCCUGGCCACGGUCAUCAUGUGCACGGUCACGGUUAUGGCUGCGAUCACCACGCCCGCGGUCUCUGUCACGACUGCGGUCAUGGUCACGAUCCCGUCCGCGUUCAUCACGCGUGCGGUCAUGGUCACGGUCCCGAGAGCGGUCAUCGCGACUGCGGUCCCUGGAAGGGGCAGGGGUGGUCGCCGCUGCAGCAUUGGCAUCACGCUCAAGCUCGAGGCGGAGCUCGCGGGCGCGAUCUGCGUCGUCCGGGCGCGAGAGCGCGCGGUACUUGGAGUUGGACUGCGAGGCGGCGGAGCUAGGGUUAUGGGAGGGCGGCGGGAGGAUGGCGUGGAUGAUGGUGAGGAGCGUGCGGACGAAGUAGUCGGGGAGGUCGGCGCCGUUGGCCUUGAGCUUGGCGUCGAAAUCGGCGACCGAGGGGGCGUCGCGCCCGAGCUCGGUAAUGAACUCAGCCAGUACCUUGUCGCCUACACCGAUGUGCGUCUCCAGCUCCGAGCAGACCUUGGAGACGAGCGACAGGUACUCCAACUUUCGGAGCCCGUCGUCGCCGGGACCCUCCGCCGCCGGCGGCGCCAUGGCUAG
RNAcentral lists this ribosomal RNA (732 nucleotides) under Triticum aestivum (bread wheat). Its description in RNAcentral is "partial small subunit ribosomal RNA". Lineage: Eukaryota; Viridiplantae; Streptophyta; Magnoliopsida; Poales; Poaceae. The record is from RNAcentral.